GGUGACGAGCGGCGGACGGGUGAGUAAUGUCUGGGAACUGCCUGAUGGAGGGGGAUAACUACUGGAAACGGUAGCUAAUACCGCAUAACGUCGCAAGACCAAAGAGGGGGACCUUCGGGCCUCUUGCCAUCAGAUGUGCCCAGAUGGGAUUAGCUAGUAGGUGGGGUAACGGCUCACCUAGGCGACGAUCCCUAGCUGGUCUGAGAGGAUGACCAGCCACACUGGAACUGAGACACGGUCCAGACUCCUACGGGAGGCAGCAGUGGGGAAUAUUGCACAAUGGGCGCAAGCCUGAUGCAGCCAUGCCGCGUGUAUAAAGAAGGCCUUCGGGUUGUAAAGUACUUUCAGCGGGGAGGAAGGUGUUGUGGUUAAUAACCACAGCAAUUGACGUUACCCGCAGAAAAGCACCGGCUAACUCCGUGCCAGCAGCCGCGGUAAUACGGAGGGUGCAAGCGUUAUCGGAUUACUGGGCGUAAAGCGCACGCAGGCGGUCCUGUCNAAGUCCGGAUUGGUGGAAUUCCCCCGGGGGUUUCAAAACCCUUGGGGGGAAAACUUGGGUUUUCCGGAAAAAUUUGGGGCAAGAAAUUUUAAAAGUCCUUU
RNAcentral lists this ribosomal RNA (600 nucleotides) under uncultured bacterium. RNAcentral describes it as "bacterial SSU rRNA". It matches the Rfam family "Bacterial small subunit ribosomal RNA", at positions 87 to 662 of the family's 1533-position model. The record is from RNAcentral.